GCUCGCUACGAUCAUUUACCACUUGCUCCGUCUCUCAUCCAAAGAAUAAAACAAUAAUGAUGAAAUAAUACCGCUUCGUGCAAUACGUGUGUGUCUGUGUGUGUGUCUAUAUAUAUAUGUAGUUAUAAUGCCGUAACAAUUUCGAAACGCGUCCAUCGUCGUGCAUAACAAUGAUACACGCGUCGUCGUCGAGCGAAGAUCGCGGUGCGCUGCUGCUGCUACCACUCACAGUUGUCGUCGUUGUUGCUUUGUUUCACUUUGGAAACCAAACAACGAAUAAACAAAACACCAUCAAAUAAGGGUGCCGAGGAUGAUGCUGUGACCGGAUGGCGUCGUCGUCACAGUUCUUCGUCGGAGGCGCUGGAAAUCCGAUGGACCCGGAGGACCUCUCCGACGUCGGCGUCGCGAUCGAAGAGGGCGCAAGCGUCGAUUCGCCGCUCAUCCUGCAACCGUCGAUCUCGCUUCCCGCGAUCGUCGCCUCGACGCCGAAUCUGAACCGCGUCGCGACGGCCACCAGCUCGCUCACCCACUUCAAAGAUUCCAGGAAUCGGUUCAGACCUGGUGCUGCUCGCAAAAUCCGAAGACGCGCCAUCCUCAAGAACGGCGACUGCAACAUCCUGCAGUCGCGCAUCUCGAAGCAUCGCCUGAGAUUCCUCCAAGACAUCUUCACGACUCUCGUGGAUACGCAAUGGCGUUGGACGUUGAUCGCGUUCGCCCUGAGUUUCCUACUCUCGUGGUUGGGUUUCGCGGUCAUCUGGUGGCUGAUAAUGUUCACGCACGGCGAUCUGGAGGCUGACCAUCUGCCCGACGAGCAGGAGAAGUCCGGUUGGGAACCGUGCGUCUCGGCCAUCCACGAUUUCACCUCGUGCUUCCUCUUCAGCAUAGAAACGCAGCACACGAUCGGUUACGGUGUUCGCACCACUUCUGAGGAAUGCCCGGAGGCCAUCUUCGUCAUGUGCAUGCAGAGUAUCGUAGGUGUGAUGAUACAGGCUUUCAUGGUGGGCAUCGUCUUCGCGAAGAUGACGAGACCGAAGCACCGCACGCAGACGUUGCUGUUCUCGAGGAACGCGGUCAUCUGCCAAAGAGAUGGUUUCCUCAGCCUGAUGUUCAGGGUCGGCGACAUGAGGAAGUCGCACAUCAUCGGAGCGAGUAUAAGGGCUCAGCUGAUAAGGGCGCGCACCACUAAAGAGGGCGAAGUCAUGGGUCAAUAUCAGACGGAGUUGGCGGUGAGCGCGGACGGAUGCGACGGUGAUCUGUUCUUCAUCUGGCCGAUGACCAUCGUCCAUAAGAUCGACGAGGAAUCACCGCUGUACACGCUCUCCGCUUCAGACAUGCUGAUGGACAGAUUCGAAAUCGUCGUCAUCUUGGAGGGGACGAUCGAAAGCACCGGACAGACGACUCAGGCGAGAUCGAGUUACGUCGCUGCAGAAGUCCUUUGGGGUCACCGCUUCGAACCGGUCGUCAGCUACAACAAGGAGAGGCAAGGGUACGAAGUGAAAUAUUCGAAAUUCGAUAACACCAUUCAGGUGGAUACACCUCUCUGCUCCGGCUCAGAACUCGCCGAAUUCUACCGCCUCCAAGAUCCGAUCGAUCAAGCAGAGCGCAUUUCCUACCACCGUAUGAACAGCAACAUGCCGACCAACGAUUCCGCUUGAUACCCACGCACGCAACCAAACAUACAAUUAAUUACAUUUGAACCAAUCAUCGUGAGAAUCUCAGCGAACAAACUUCAUAUAUUAUUUAUAGCUUAUGCAUGGUCUACCUUUACUCCAACGAGAUGACCAUGCUAUUAAACGGUAUGACGACAUCACCGACAAAUUCAUUUGGUCCAAGGAAACCCAGCUCCGUUCAAAUAGACGAAUUAGAUGACACCAACAGUUAACACUUCACCCACAUCCUUGAUGCAUCUCCAGUUGCAUAACAACAACAAAUUGAAUUAAAUUAAUAAACUACACGUUUACUUAUUUCACCAUACCUUUAAUCAUUAAAAUCAGUUUCAUCCUUCUAAAACAAUCUAGAAGUUUUAUAUUUGAAAAUCACAUUCCUAAUUUGUUGUGACGAUUACUUGCAGAAUUUGCGAUUCGCGUGCAACGUGUUGCAUAAUUGGGAAUUAGAAAUGGGGGGAAGACAAAGAGGUCGUGGAUAUAAUAUAUUUAUAUUUUAAAUAGAUUUUUUUUGUUGUUGUUUUUCUUUAAAUAUUAGUUUAUAGACUUGGAUCAAAUAGUUUCCGUCUGUCGUCAUCAUCAUCACUGGAUAACAAAGA
Molecule: RNA transcript, 2263 nt
Organism: Nicrophorus vespilloides
Lineage: Eukaryota; Metazoa; Arthropoda; Insecta; Coleoptera; Silphidae
Gene: Irk2
Gene name: G protein-activated inward rectifier potassium channel 3
Exons: 6
Source: RefSeq, a predicted model, not a curated record